GACCGACCCAAUGUGCUCCGAAGAUUGCGAAGGACGAUGCGCUUCCAGACCGAUUAAGUCUAAAGGUCCGUCAUGACGAUUUGCGAUAUUUGAGUCCUCUUUCCAGAACGUUUCAGAUCAUUCAAUUUGGAGCCAUGAUCAAGAAGAUAACGUUUCCGGAAUGGACACAUGUCUAGAAGCCUCUUUCCGACCGUGUGAA
This 199-nucleotide long non-coding RNA is filed under the name Eutrema salsugineum. RNAcentral describes it as "long non-coding RNA (ESAL_LNC000996)". The record is from RNAcentral. Lineage: Eukaryota; Viridiplantae; Streptophyta; Magnoliopsida; Brassicales; Brassicaceae.